RNAcentral lists this long non-coding RNA (426 nucleotides) under Capra hircus (goat). Its description in RNAcentral is "lncRNA (ENSCHIG00010026406.1)". The record is from RNAcentral. Lineage: Eukaryota; Metazoa; Chordata; Mammalia; Artiodactyla; Bovidae.
AUGUCUUAUCCCCCAACCAACACUACAGUUCUUUUAAAUUUAAUGCAAUUUCCCCCAUGUGUAUUCUUGAAAAAUCUUUUAAAACAGAAGGGCUGUGAUUUUCUUCCCCCAAGAACAGCAAAUAAAGCAGGAAAUGAGCAAAACAUCGAACUCUCAUCAGGCUUGGAGGUUGAAAAGGAAAAAGAAAAAUACCUCCAAGGCAUGAACUUGGUUGUGGCAACACCAAUAAUGAAAGAAAGCAGACUCUCGAAGAGAGACACCUGCGGCAGAGACAGCAUGAAGUACUCGCCUUUGAGAAGGUACUGUGAGGCUUCGCCAGAAGAUGGGGUUCUAACAGAUGGAACACCAGUCCUGCUGAAGGCGGCUGCCACUUCCACUAACUGCAGUUUGGAAUCUGCACUACAGCUCUCAUCCUAUGAUCUUUAG